CGUGCCAGCAGCCGCGGUAAUACGUAGGGUGCGAGCGUUAAUCGGAAUUACUGGGCGUAAAGCGUGCGUAGGCGGCAUGGUCAGUCGGAUGUGAAAGCCCCGGGCUUAACCUGGGAAUUGCAUUCGAUACUGCCAAGCUAGAGUAUGUUAGAGGAAAGUGGAAUUCCCGGUGUAGCGGUGAAAUGCGUAGAUAUCGGGAGGAACAUCAGUGGCGAAGGCGACUUUCUGGAUCAAUACUGACGCUGAGGUACGAAAGCGUGGGGAGCAAACAGGAUUAGAUACCCU
Molecule: ribosomal RNA, 285 nt
Filed under: Oxyrrhis marina
Lineage: Eukaryota; Dinophyceae; Oxyrrhinales; Oxyrrhinaceae
Description: partial Bacterial small subunit ribosomal RNA
Rfam family: Bacterial small subunit ribosomal RNA
Source: RNAcentral